RNAcentral lists this long non-coding RNA (322 nucleotides) under Gossypium raimondii (Peruvian cotton). RNAcentral describes it as "long non-coding RNA (GRAI_LNC001254)". The record is from RNAcentral. Lineage: Eukaryota; Viridiplantae; Streptophyta; Magnoliopsida; Malvales; Malvaceae.
UCGGAGCUUGGACCGGGUGAAAAGAGGGUUGAGGCGGCGUAACUUAUGAGUGAAAGGAGAUUAGAUUUUUUUUAGGUUUUUUUUUCUUCUCUAUUUAGAAUAAUGUUAGUUUUAAUGUUGGCUUAAAGGGAAAUCAUGAAACGUCACCGUUUGGGCCUGAUUCAAUGGCUCUGAAACGGUGCCGUUUUAGGCCGCGACCCGAUGACCUGACCUAGACGCGGUUAGAUCCGCGUGUUCUGGCGUAGGGAGGGAUAUUUGCGCGAUCCUUUUUCUGUGUUUUUUAGAAUCGGUGGUCUUCUUUCUUUCCGAUUCAGCCCCGUAU